CAUGCAGAACGCUCACCUCCCAAGAUCUUGGUUUUUAUAAGGUGUAAUGAUAAUGUAAGCUAAUGUUUCACAUGCCAAAGGAAACACCAUGAGCCACAGGGAAUUGUUC
This 109-nucleotide unclassified non-coding RNA is filed under the name Escherichia coli CFT073. Lineage: Bacteria; Pseudomonadati; Pseudomonadota; Gammaproteobacteria; Enterobacterales; Enterobacteriaceae. The record is from RNAcentral.